GCAGUUGACGCUGAAGUUGGUCUUGUACCGACUGGAUGAGCAGCGAACGGCCGUAAACGCGUGGGGAAUCUGCCUUUGAGCGGGGGACAACACCUUGAAACGAAUGCUAAUACCGCAUAAAAACUUUAAACACAAGUUUUAAGUUUGAAAGAUGCAAUUGCAUCACUCAAAGAUGAUCCCGCGUUGUAUUAGCUAGUUGGUGAGGUAAAGGCUCACCAAGGCGAUGAUACAUAGCCGACCUGAGAGGGUGAUCGGCCACAUUGGGACUGAGACACGGCCCAAACUCCUACGGGAGGCAGCAGUAGGGAAUCUUCGGCAAUGGACGAAAGUCUGACCGAGCAACGCCGCGUGAGUGAAGAAGGUUUUCGGAUCGUAAAACUCUGUUGGUAGAGAAGAACGUUGGUGAGAGUGGAAAGCUCAUCAAGUGACGGUAACUACCCAGAAAGGGACGGCUAACUACGUGCCAGCAGCCGCGGUAAUACGUAGGUCCCGAGCGUUGUCCGGAUUUAUUGGGCGUAAAGCGAGCGCAGGUGGUUUAUUAAGUCUGGUGUAAAAGGCAGUGGCUCAACCAUUGUAUGCAUUGGAAACUGGUAGACUUGAGUGCAGGAGAGGAGAGUGGAAUUCCAUGUGUAGCGGUGAAAUGCGUAGAUAUAUGGAGGAACACCGGUGGCGAAAGCGGCUCUCUGGCCUGUAACUGACACUGAGGCUCGAAAGCGUGGGGAGCAAACAGGAUUAGAUACCCUGGUAGUCCACGCCGUANACGAUGAGUGCUAGAUGUAGGGAGCUAUAAGUUCUCUGUAUCGCAGCUAACGCAAUAAGCACUCCGCCUGGGGAGUACGACCGCAAGGUUGAAACUCAAAGGAAUUGACG
This 870-nucleotide ribosomal RNA is filed under the name uncultured bacterium. Its description in RNAcentral is "bacterial SSU rRNA". It matches the Rfam family "Bacterial small subunit ribosomal RNA", at positions 57 to 915 of the family's 1533-position model. The record is from RNAcentral.